GAUGAACGCUGGCGGCGUGCCUAAUACAUGCAAGUCGAGCGAACAGACGAGGAGCUUGCUCCUCUGACGUUAGCGGCGGACGGGUGAGUAACACGUGGAUAACCUACCUAUAAGACUGGGAUAACUUCGGGAAACCGGAGCUAAUACCGGAUAAUAUAUUGAACCGCAUGGUUCAAUAGUGAAAGACGGUUUUGCUGUCACUUAUAGAUGGAUCCGCGCCGCAUUAGCUAGUUGGUAAGGUAACGGCUUACCAAGGCAACGAUGCGUAGCCGACCUGAGAGGGUGAUCGGCCACACUGGAACUGAGACACGGUCCAGACACCUACGGGAGGCAGCAGUAGGGAAUCUUCCGCAAUGGGCGAAAGCUUGACGGAGCAACGCCGCGUGAGUGAUGAAGGUCUUCGGAUCGUAAAACGCUGUUAUUAGGGAAGAACAAAUGUGUAAGUAACGAUGCACGUCUGGACGGUACCUAAUAGAAAGCCACGGCUAACUACGUG
This 496-nucleotide ribosomal RNA is filed under the name uncultured bacterium. RNAcentral's name for it is "partial 16S ribosomal RNA". It matches the Rfam family "Bacterial small subunit ribosomal RNA", at positions 28 to 507 of the family's 1533-position model. The record is from RNAcentral.